Molecule: ribosomal RNA, 1249 nt
Filed under: uncultured Gammaproteobacteria bacterium
Lineage: Bacteria; Pseudomonadati; Pseudomonadota; Gammaproteobacteria
Description: bacterial SSU rRNA
Rfam family: Bacterial small subunit ribosomal RNA
Source: RNAcentral
GAGUUUGAUCCUGGCUCAGAUUGAACGCUGGCGGCAGGCUUAACACAUGCAAGUCGAACGGUAACAUGAGUGCUUGCACUUGAUGACGAGUGGCGGACGGGUGAGUAAGGUAUGGGGAUCUGCCGAAUGGAGGGGGACAACAGUUGGAAACGACUGCUAAUACCGCAUAAAGUUGAGAGACCAAAGCAUGGGACUUACGGGCCAUGCGCCAUUCGAUGAGCCCAUAUGGGAUUAGCUAGUUGGUAGGGUAAUGGCUUACCAAGGCGACGAUCUCUAGCUGGUCUGAGAGGAUGACCAGCCACACUGGAACUGAGACACGGUCCAGACUCCUACGGGAGGCAGCAGUGGGGAAUAUUGCACAAUGGGGGGAACCCUGAUGCAGCCAUGCCGCGUGUAUGAAGAAGGCCUUCGGGUUGUAAAGUACUUUCGGUGAUGAGGAAGGUGGUGUAUCUAAUAGGUGCAUCAAUUGACGUUAAUUACAGAAGAAGCACCGGCUAACUCCGUGCCAGCAGCCGCGGUAAUACGGAGGGUGCGAGCGUUAAUCGGAAUGACUGGGCGUAAAGGGCAUGUAGGCGGAUAAUUAAGUUAGGUGUGAAAGCCCUGGGCUCAACCUAGGGAUUGCACUUAAAACUGGUUAACUAGAGUAUUGUAGAGGAAGGUAGAAUUCCACGUGUAGCGGUGAAAUGCGUAGAGAUGUGGAGGGAUACCGGUGGCGAAGGCGGCCUUCUGGACAGAUACUGACGCUGAGAUGCGAAAGCGUGGGGAGCAAACAGGAUUAGAUACCCUGGUAGUCCACGCUGUAAACGAUGUCGAUUUGGAGUUUGUUGCCUAGAGUGAUGGGCUCCGAAGCUAACGCGAUAAAUCGACCGCCUGGGGAGUACGGCCGCAAGGUUAAAACUCAAAUGAAUUGACGGGGGCCCGCACAAGCGGUGGAGCAUGUGGUUUUAUUCGAUGCAACGCGAAGGACCUUACCUGGUCUUGACAUCCACAGAAUCUUGCAGAGAUGCGAGAGUGCCUUCGGGAACUGUGAGACAGGUGCUGCAUGGCUGUCGUCAGCUCGUGUUGUGAAAUGUUGGGUUAAGUCCCGCAACGAGCGCAACCCUUAUCCUUUGUUGCCAUUGGUUAGGCCGGGAACUCAAAGGAGACUGCCGUUGAUAAAGCGGAGGAAGGUGGGGACGACGUCAAGUCAUCAUGGCCCUUACGACCAGGGCUACACACGUGCUACAAUGGCGUAUACAAAGGGAGGCGA